UAAAGCUUCAAACUGGGAUUAGAUACCCCACUAUUCUUGACUGUAAAUCUAAUAAAAUUUACCAGAGUACUAUGAAUAUUAUAAAAAUUUAAAACUCAAAGGGCUUGGCGGUGUUUUAGACCUAUCAGGGGAACCUGUCUCAUAAUCGACAAUCCGCGUUGAACCUGACCCUAUCUUGUAUCCAGUUUGUAUACCGUCGUCGUCAGGUAACUUUUAAAAAACUAGAAGUUAGCAAUAAAAAUUUUUUGAAUUAAAACGUCAGAUCAAGGUGCAGCUAAUGAUAGGGCGAGGAUGGGUUACAAUUAUUUAAUUCAUAAUUACGGAAAACUAUAUGAAAUAUAGUUUGAAGGAGGACUUGAAAGUAAAAUAAAAUAUAUAAGCAAUUUGAAUACGGCUCUGAAACGUGCACACACCGCCCGUCACCCUCCUGCAGUCAA
This 437-nucleotide ribosomal RNA is filed under the name Volutharpa perryi. RNAcentral's name for it is "partial 12S ribosomal RNA". It matches the Rfam family "Microsporidia small subunit ribosomal RNA", at positions 643 to 1216 of the family's 1311-position model. Lineage: Eukaryota; Metazoa; Mollusca; Gastropoda; Neogastropoda; Buccinidae. The record is from RNAcentral.